AACGAACGCUGGCGGCAUGCCUAACACAUGCAAGUCGAACGAGACCUUCGGGUCUAGUGGCGCACGGGUGCGUAACGCGUGGGAACCUGCCCUUAGGUUCGGAAUAACUCCCCGAAAGGGGUGCUAAUACCGGAUAAUGUCUUCGGACCAAAGAUUUAUCGCCUUUGGAUGGGCCCGAGUUGGAUUAGCUAGUUGGUAGGGUAAAAGCCUACCAAGGCCACGAUCCAUAGCUGGUCUGAGAGGAUGAUCAGCCACACUGGGACUGAGACACGGCCCAGACUCCUACGGGAGGCAGCAGUGGGGAAUAUUGGACAAUGGGCGAAAGCCUGAUCCAGCAAUGCCGCGUGAGUGAUGAAGGCCUUAGGGUUGUAAAGCUCUUUUACCCGGGAUGAUAAUGACAGUACCGGGAGAAUAAGCUCCGGCUAACUCCGUG
This 433-nucleotide ribosomal RNA is filed under the name uncultured bacterium. Its description in RNAcentral is "partial 16S ribosomal RNA". It matches the Rfam family "Bacterial small subunit ribosomal RNA", at positions 29 to 507 of the family's 1533-position model. The record is from RNAcentral.